ACCUGGCAAGAGCCCAGCCAAGAUGAACCAACUUGCCUACACAACCACCCCCGCCUCGGCAUGUGAUGUUCCCCUCCCUGUGUGCAUGUGUUCUCACUGGAGGGAACAUAUAUUUUUUCGAGUCACCAUUCAAUAAUUCAUUACACGGACUAUGAAAAAUCAAGUGACCAUGUGAUCUGGGCUCCCCGUAGCAAACUGGAUGUCAUCUGACCCACUACUCAUAAAGGCACUACUUCUUCCUGCUGCCAUGUGAAGAAAGACCUGUUUGCUUCCCCUUUCAUCAUGAUUGUAAGUUUCCUGAGGCCUCCCCACCCGUGCAGAACUGUGAGUCAAUUAAACCCCUUUCCUUCAUAAAUUACACAGUCUCAGGCAGUACUUUAUAGCAGCGUGAGAAUGGAUUAAUACACUAUCCCAGGGGUAUCUCAGUGUUGAACUUCAUGCAGUUAGAUCUUGUAUCUCCACUGAGCUGCUUGAGGGCCUGACCUACAUCUCUGGCUUCUCCAGAUUAGCCUGCUGAAUGUUGUAAAGAAUUAGAAACAUGGAAAGCACUUAAAUACCCUUCACGUUGGUGGCAAAUUGGGGUUUAGGUUUUAAAAGUGACGAAUGCUACCAUGAUUCACAGUAAAAAUAAGACGAUAGAAGGAAGCAAGCUGCCUGAGCUGUCUCUUUCUUAUGGGAAAAAUGCUCCCUGCACUCUUCUGAGUCUCUUUAAAGGAAAAACCCAUUGUUAAUGCUUCCUGUAUGCCUGCAGUUGGUGCACAUCUUGACCCUCUGCAGCCCUGUUUGAUGGAUGCAAUGUACUGAGCUUGGUGCAUCAUGCCCCAGAACUGGGAAAGGGAAAAAUUGAAAAAUGAGCAGUUGGCCACCUCCUGAUGUCUGUAGGUGUCUGGAAAUGCAGGCAUCUAGAACUGCUGGCAGGACUCUCUGAAGGCUUGACUGAUUCCUACAAGUAAGCAGCUGGAGAUGUAAUUAUUACAUUGUCAUUUUAUUAUUUCAUUGUGGUAAGAGCACUUAACAUGAGAUCUAGCCUCUUAACACAUGAUAUGUCAUUGUUGACUAUAGGUACAAUGUUGUGUAGAAGAUCCCUAGAGCUUAUUCAUCUUACUUGACUGAAUCUUUACGCCCUUUGGUUAGUAUCUCCCCAUUUGUUCCUCCUUCCAGCCCUGGAAAACUACCAUUCCACUCUUUGAUUCUAUGAAUUUGACUAUCUUUGAUACCUCAUAGAAGUAGAAUAAAGAAGUAUUUGUUUUUCUGCAGCUGGCUUGUUUCACUUAGCAUAAUGACCUUGGGGUUACAUCGAUGUUGUUAUAUAUGUUAGGAUUUUCUUCCUUUUUAAGGCUGAAUAGUGUUCCAUCAUAUGUAUAUACCACACUUUUUAUCCACUUAUCUGUUGAUAGAUAUUUAGGUUGUUCUUACAAUACAAUAGUAAGAAAAAAAACAGCUAAUAACCCAAUUAAAAGUGGUCUAAAGACUUGAAUAGGCAUUUCUCCAAAUAAGACAUACAAAUAAUCAACAGGUUUAUGAAAAAAUGCUCAAUGUCACUAAUCCUUAGAGAAAUGCAAAUAAAACCACAAUAAGAUAUCACCUCCCAUCUGUUAGAAUGGAUAUUAUGUAUUACACAAAAACAAAAGAUAAUAAGUGUUGGCAAGUAUUGGAUAUAUAGAAAUUGAAACUUUUGCACACUGUUGGUGGACAUGCAAAAAGACACAGUUGCUAUGUAAAAAAAUAUAUAGAAGUUUCUAAAAAAAAUUUAAAAAUAGAAUUACAUGAUCCAGCAAUCCCAUUUCUGGGUAUUUAUCCAAAAAAAAAA
This is a long non-coding RNA of Homo sapiens (human), 1810 nucleotides long. Ensembl annotates it as long intergenic non-protein coding RNA 2694. The record is from Ensembl. Lineage: Eukaryota; Metazoa; Chordata; Mammalia; Primates; Hominidae.